AUACGUAGGGGGCGAGCGUUGUCCGGAAUGAUUGGGCGUAAAGGGCGCGUAGGCGGCCCGGUAAGUCUGGAGUGAAAGUCCUGUUUUUAAGAUGGGAAUUGCUUUGGAUACUGUCGGGCUUGAGUGCAGGAGAGGUAAGUGGAAUUCCCAGUGUAGCGGUGAAAUGCGUAGAGAUUGGGAGGAACACCAGUGGCGAAGGCGACUUACUGGACUGUGUCUGACGCUCAGAUGCGAAAGCCAGGGUAGCGAACGGGAUUAGAUACCCCGGUAGUCCUGGCCGUAAACGAUGGGUACUAGGUGUGGGAGGUAUCGACUCCUUCCGUGCCGGAGUUAACGCAAUAAGUACCCCGCCUGGGGGGUACGGCCGCAAGGCUUAAACUCAAAUGAAUUGACGGGG
Molecule: ribosomal RNA, 397 nt
Filed under: uncultured bacterium
Lineage: Bacteria
Description: partial 16S ribosomal RNA
Rfam family: Bacterial small subunit ribosomal RNA
Source: RNAcentral